RNAcentral lists this ribosomal RNA (253 nucleotides) under uncultured bacterium. Its description in RNAcentral is "partial 16S ribosomal RNA". It matches the Rfam family "Bacterial small subunit ribosomal RNA", at positions 524 to 776 of the family's 1533-position model. The record is from RNAcentral.
GACGGAAGGUGCAAGCGUUGCUCGGAAUCACUGGGCGUAAAGGGUGCGUAGGCGGCUUGGUGGGUCUGGUGUGAAAGCCCCGGGCUCAGCCCGGGAAGGGCACUAGAAACUGCCGAGCUGGAGUGCCGGAGGGGAGAGUGGAAUUCCUGGUGUAGCGGUGAAAUGCGCAGAUAUCAGGAGGAACACCGGUGGCGAAGGCGGAUCUCUGGGCCUUACCUGACGCUGAGGCGCGAAAGCUAGGGGAGCGAACAGG